RNAcentral lists this ribosomal RNA (253 nucleotides) under uncultured microorganism. RNAcentral describes it as "partial 16S ribosomal RNA". It matches the Rfam family "Bacterial small subunit ribosomal RNA", at positions 524 to 776 of the family's 1533-position model. The record is from RNAcentral.
UACGGAGGGUGCGAGCGUUAUUCGGAAUUACUGGGCGUAAAGCGCGUGUAGGCGGCAGGGCAAGUCUGGUGUGAAAGCCCAGGGCUUAACCCUGGAAGUGCACUGGAAACUGCACGGCUUGAGUGCCGGAGAGGAGGGGGGAAUUCCCGGUGUAGCGGUGAAAUGCGUAGAUAUCGGGAGGAAUACCGGUGGCGAAGGCGCCCCUCUGGACGGUAACUGACGCUGAGGCUCGAAAGCGUGGGUAGCAAACAGG